GCAGUGGUGGCUGAGUGGUAGAAUUCUCGCCUUUGAUGCAGGAAACCUGGGUUCGAUUCCCAGCCAAUGCA
Molecule: transfer RNA, 71 nt
Filed under: Loxodonta africana (African savanna elephant)
Lineage: Eukaryota; Metazoa; Chordata; Mammalia; Proboscidea; Elephantidae
Rfam family: tRNA
About the family: Transfer RNA (tRNA) molecules are approximately 80 nucleotides in length.
Source: Rfam by way of RNAcentral